UACGAAGGGGGCUAGCGUUGCUCGGAAUUACUGGGCGUAAAGGCGCGUAGGCGGCACUGUUAGUCAGGCGUGAAAGUCCUGGGCUCAACCUGGGAACUGCGCUUGAUACGGCAGAGCUAGAGGAUGGAAGAGGCUCGCGGAAUUCCCAGUGUAGAGGUGAAAUUCGUAGAUAUUGGGAAGAACACCGGUGGCGAAGGCGGCGAGCUGGUCCAUUACUGACGCUGAGGCACGAAAGCGUGGGGAGCAAACAGG
This 252-nucleotide ribosomal RNA is filed under the name uncultured bacterium. RNAcentral describes it as "partial 16S ribosomal RNA". It matches the Rfam family "Bacterial small subunit ribosomal RNA", at positions 524 to 776 of the family's 1533-position model. The record is from RNAcentral.